AGGACGAACGCUGGCGGCGUGCUUAACACAUGCAAGUCGAACGAGGAUACAGGAGAGCUUGCUCGAACGUAUCCGAGUGGCGGACGGGUGAGUAACGCGUGAACAAUCUGUCUCAUACAGGGGGAUAACGCAUCGAAAGAUGUGCUAAUACCGCAUAGAACCACGGUUUCGCAUGGGGCUGAGGUGAAAGGAGCGAUCCGGUAUGAGGUGAGUUCGCGUCUGAUUAGAUAGUUGGUGAGGUAACGGCCCACCAAGUCAACGAUCAGUAGCCGACCUGAGAGGGUGAUCGGCCACAUUGGGACUGAGACACGGCCCAGACUCCUACGGGAGGCAGCAGUGGGGAAUAUUGGGCAAUGGGCGAAAGCCUGACCCAGCAACGCCGCGUGAAGGAAGAAGGUUUUCGGAUCGUAAACUUCUGUCCUAUGUGAAGAGUAGAAGACGGUAGCAUAGGAGGAAGCCCCGGCUAACUACGUGCCAGCCGCCGC
This 485-nucleotide ribosomal RNA is filed under the name uncultured bacterium. RNAcentral's name for it is "bacterial SSU rRNA". It matches the Rfam family "Bacterial small subunit ribosomal RNA", at positions 26 to 518 of the family's 1533-position model. The record is from RNAcentral.